GCCCAGUAUCCCCCUUCAUCUCUAAAAUAGACCAUAAUUUGACCUCUCUUUCAAAAAGAGCUUAGAGAACGGACACCCCCUCUUGAAAAACCCUAGCGCCGCCUUCUCCCUCCUCUUCUCUCUCACACGCCAUACUCAUGGAUUCGCCUCACCAUCUGCAGUGUCGUUUUUGAGAUUUGAAGUCCAGGGUAGCUAAAAACACAAGAGCAACAGUUGAAGAUACUCCAAAAUGCUUAAAACAUGCUAGUUUAGAUCUGUAGCUUCAAAGAGCUAUUCGGUUUUCUUUGAUUUCUUGGUCAAUCUCUGGGCUUUAGAGUGAUUUAACUCUCAAAUUGCAGCCGAGUGCUGCUGAUUCACUUCAUUACUGAGCUCCGAAUCUGCUGAUUUUCUAUAGCCCGUAUUUGGCAAAUUCUGAUCAUUUCUCUGCAUCCUAGGUACAUUACCUCAAACCUGUAAUUUCUCUUUGAUUGAUGAUGAAUUUCUAAACUUGUUUCUAGCUCAUUUGUUACAAUUUGUUGAAUCUGUUGCCUCAAUUUAGUUUGAGCAUAAGUGGAUUAUCCACAAGUUCAGUAGAGAUGUGAUACUUGUUUAUUGGAAUCUGAUCUCAUGACAAUUUUGUGAGUUUGAUUCAAAUGGGCGUUGCAACGUUUGGUUUAGCUAAUACCUAAAACAGGCUAUAGAUCUAAACAAUAAUCGUGAAUUAAGUUCUAUGAUUUGUUGAACAAUCUGUGAAUAUCAAAUGUUAUUUUUGAGGUGUAGUUGAUGAUAUGUGCACCCUCUCUAAAUUUAGCUGUUAAACCUCGGUCUUGUGACUUUGUUCAUUUUGGAAUAAUAUGCACUAGAUUCUGAUUUGCCGGAAUAAUCCAAUCCUGGUAAAUCGAGAAGCUAUUUGGACGAAAUGAAAACUAUAUAGCCUGGAGAUGUGUAUGUGUUUUCUAUGGAGAAUGUGUAAUGGAAGCAUAAAUCGAUAAGAGGGGUUGCUCUGAUGGUAAGCAACCUCCACUUCCAACCAAGAGGUUGUGAGUUCGAGUCACCCCAAGAGCAAGGUGGGGAGUUCUUGGAGGGAAGGAUGCCGAGGGUCUAUUGGAAACAGCCUCUCUACCUCAUGGUAGGUGUAAGGUCUGCGUACACACUACCCUCCCCAGACCCCACUAGUGGGAUUAUACUGAAUUGUUGUUGUUGUUGUAGAUUAGUGUAUCUUGUAAUUUAUGAAGCUAAUUGUCAGAUUCCUUUGAUUAUGUAUGGUAUAGAAUCACUUGAUCAUAGAAUGUGUUUGUCUGGCACUGAUGGCUGAAUUUUAAUAUCAUUAUGCCAUUCUAACCAUGUAGGAUUAAACAAUUUUCAAAAAGGGGAAGUGCAACUAAGCCAAUAGACAUAACUGAUGUCCCGACGUAGCUUCAAUGAGCAAUUUAGAUCAGUCACGUAACUUUUCGUUAAAUCCUUUUGAUCUCACCUAUUAAGCCCAUCAUCUGGCAAUCCCAUUUGAUCAAAUUAUAAGCAGUUCCUCGGCAAUAUUUGAGCCUGCACACUUGAUAUUCAGCUUUUAGAAAAAUAAUUAUCUUAUAAACAUUUGUAGCUUGUCAUCAUGACUAUGGGUACGGUUUCCGUGGCAUAGUCAGAUACAUAGUCCCCAAUUCGAGUGUGCGUUUCACGUGACUCGGCCAUAACUUCGAAUUAAUAAUAAAACUAAACAUGUUAUAAAUCGCGGGUGCAUUUCAUGUGACGUGAUUCGCAAUGUAUUCAAAAAUAAUAAGUGCGUGACAUCGCGACUUAUUUAAAUAAACUCCAUAAAUAAUUAAAAGUGGUUAGAAAGUUAAAAUUGCACAAUAGGUUUUAAACGUGUAAUAAAUCAGAUAUUUAGGCCAAUUAUUAAUAGUUAAACGACCGUGCUAAAACCACAAAACUCGGGAGUGCCUCACACCUUCUACCGGGUUAACAGAAUUCCUUACCCAAUCUUCUGUGUUCGCAGAUCAUAAAUAAGAGUCAAUUUCCUCGAUUUGGUAUUUAAAAUAAACCGGUGACUCGGGACACCAUAAAUUAUUCCAAGUGGCGAUUCUGAAAUAAAUAAAUAAUUCUAUUUCGAUUAAUGUCACUUUAAUUGGAAAAACUUCCCUAUCCCUCGGGAAAAAGGAGGUGUGACAACUCCCAUUUGAACCUAACUCUCUGAUACUAAGUUGUCACGACCCAAAAUCUACUAAAGGUCGUGAUGGUGCCUAACAUCACCUUUAGGCAAGCCAACAGUGAAUGAUCAACUUAAUUACUCAUUUUAGUAUUUUGAAAUCAUAAUUUUCAUAAAUUAAAUCUUUUGAAAUAGAAUUUGCAGGGUAAAUGAUAAUAUUUUCACAACUACAAUUACGAACAACCCGUAGGAACCCCAAAAAUCCGGUGUCACAAGUACAUGAGCAUUUUCUAAGGAGUACAAUGAUAAUACAACAUCUGUCCAGAAUGUAAAUAAGACAGGAUAAAAUAAAUAGUACGAUGGAGACUCGGUGAACUGCGAUGCGUAGCCUGAGAUACAGCUCACAUAAAGUCUUCUCAAUAGAUGCGCCUACGCACUAAGAUGAUCACUAAAUGACCUGUCAGAUCCUGCACAUUUAGUGCAGAAGUGCAGCAUGAGCAUGUAAAUAAACGCGUACCUAAUAAGUAUCUAGCCUAACUCCGGAGAAGUAGUAACGAAAGGUCGACAUCGACACUUACUAGAGGUCCAAGUAAAUAAUAUGAUAAUUCAUAACAUAUAUGAAGUGCACAGUAAUAGUGGAGUAAAUCUGUAAUUUCAUAAUGUUCCAAUUAUUUCUUUUAAAUCAUAAAUUUAUCGAUCUUGUAUUCUAUCUUAAUAUCUUAGAAAAUGCCAAGUGUCAAUACUAAAUAAAUAAGAAAUACCAUAAAAUUUCGGGCAUCAGUGGAAGGUUUAUCUUAUAAAUAUUCGGACUUCUAGAGAUAUCACGCACGAUUCUGCCGAGGUCGUUCGGUCCGAUAAUGUGUACACUCCCGAGGAUCGUGCAGCACGAACCAUAGAUGCAUUUAUAUACUGCCGAGGCAUUCGGCCCGCUCCACAAGAAAGGAAGUUACCGAAUUACAAGACACGUGUUUACAAUACAGUACAUGAGCACAAUAAUAAGUACACCCCUUUACAUUUAUCAAAUAUCUUGGCAACAACUCAAGGUGAUAAAGCUCAGCAUAAUAUAUUUAUUUGUUUUCCAAAUCCAUUUUUUAGUUAGAAUUUCAAUUUAUUAAACUAACAAAAUGAGUCCAAACAAUUUAAAUAUUAUAUGAUAAAGUCCUAAGUCUACCCGGACAUAAUCAUGCUUUAGCUACAUACGGACUCUCGUCACCUUGUGCGUACGUAGCACUCACAACUAGUUGCAUACAAUAAUAAAUAUCACCUAGAGGUAGUUUGCCCCUCACAAGGUUAGACAAGAGACUUACCUCGCUCCAAAAUUCUAUAACCGGCUCCAAAGUCUCUCUAACACCUCAAACUGAUGCCUAUCGCUCUAAAACUCAUUAUAGUUGAUGAAGAUGGCACUCCAAAAGUUCUCCAAAAUCGGCUUCCAUGGACGAAAUGAGAUAAAAAUGGGCCAAAUCCCCGUUUUAAAAGAACACACUACCCAGCCCGACCUUCACACCUACGGAACAGUAGCCGCUUCUGCGCUCUGCACCUGCAGAUAAUCUGUUGCUGGUGCGACUUCAGCACAACCCAACGGCCCUCGCUUCUGCGUCCCAAGUAGCGCACCUGCGCUUCUGCUUUUAUGAGCCUUACGCGCUUCUGCGCUCGCACAAUUGCGCCUCCUUUUCCGCUUCUGCGGCCCAGGCCUUUGUCGCCAACCUCCGCUUCUGCGCUCCAACAGUCGCAUUUGCGAUCUCGCAGGUGCGGGAAUUCCUUCGCACCUGCGGCCUCUGCCCAGUUCACUCCCAUCCACUUCUGCAGUCCACUUCCUCGCUUUUGCGAUGAGUCUUCCGUAGAAGCGGUUACACCAGCAACCAGAUUUUCCAACUUCUCCUUACGUCCAAAAAUCGAUCGUUAACCAUCCAGAAUCCACCCGAGGGCCCCGGGACCUCAAUCAAACUUACCAACAAGUCCUAAAAUACCAUACGGACCUAAUCGAGCCUUCAAAUCAUAUCAAACAACAUUGGAACUACGAAUUGACGAUCGAAAUCCUCAUUUAGCUUUCAAACUUUCAAACUUUGACGAACGCGUUCGAACCAUAUCAAAACAUUCUAGAAUGACGCCAAACUUUGCGCACAAGUCAUAAAUCACAAGACAAACCUAUUCCAAGGCUCAGAAUACCAACCGGAUAUCGAUAACAUCAAGGUCCACCUCAAAUCAAACUUAAGAAGUUCUUAAACCUUCAAAAUGGCAACCUUUCAUAAUAAGCGCCGAAAUGCUCCCGAAUAAUCCGAUACUCAACCCGAACAUAUGCCCAAGUCCAAUAUCAUCAUACAAAUCUGUUGGAACCUUCUAAUCCCAAUUCCGAGGUAGUUUACUCAAAAUCCAAACCUUAGUCAAUUCUUCCAACUUAAACUUUCGAAAUUCGAAUUUUCUUUCCAAAUCAACUCCGAACUUUCCGAAAUUCAAUUCCGAUCACACGUACAAGUCAUAAUACCUGAAGUGAAGCUACUCAAGAUAUCAAACCACGGAACGAUGUGCUAGAGCGCAAAACGACCGGUCAGGUCGUUACAAAAAUGACAUAAAAUGGAUAACGGUCAUGGCGAGGCGGUGACUAUUGUUUCUUAGAUCGUUUGUGAUAGUCCGAAAAUAUUUUAGGCGAUCCGGGUCCAGUUCCGGUCGAACGGGCCCAUGCUGAAGUUGUGGGCUAUAACAUACGAAAAUCUAAGAAUUAUGAGGAAUUUUAAUUGUAUGGCCCUAAAAUGCUAAAAUAUGAGGAACCCUCAUGGCGAGGUGGUGACUAUUGUUCCGUAGGUCAUUUUUGAUUGUCUAGCAAAAUUUUAGGCGAUCCGGUUCUGGCUGCGUGGACGCAUGCAGAAGGCGUGGGCUAUAGAACUAGAAAAUCUGGGGACCGGGAUGAAUUCCUGUUUUAUGGCCCUAAAAUACCAAAAAAGAGAAACGGUCAUGGUGAGGUGGUGAAUAUUUUUCCUUAGGUUGUUUUAUAUGGUCAGGCAAAAUUUUAGAUGAUCCGGGUCCGGCCACCCGGGCCAUGUAGAAGGGGUGGGUUAUAGCACGCUAAAAUUUAAAAAUCUGGUGGAAUUCUAGUUUUAUGGCCCUAAAAUAUCAAAAAAUGAGUAAUGGGUAUGGAGAGGCAGUGACUAUUAUUACUUAGGUUAUUUUUUGUGGGCCAGCAAAAGUUUAGGCGACUGGGUAUGGUCGUCCAGGACCAUGUAGAAGGCGUAGGCUAUAGAACACGAAAAUCUGAGAAUCUAGCGGAAUUCCAGUUUUAUGGCCCUUAGACGCCAAAAAAGAGGAACGAUCAUGGUGAGGAGGUGACUAUUGUUCCUUAGGUCAUUUUUGAUGGUCCGGCAAAUUUUUAGGCGAUUCGGGUCCGGCCGCCCAGGCUCAUGCGGAAGGCGUGGGCUAUAAUAUACGAAAAUCUGAGAAUCGGGCAGAAUUCCAGUUUUAUGGCCCUAAAAUGCCAAAACAUGUGGAACGGUCACGACGAGGCAGUGACUAUUGUUCCUUAGGUCGAUUUUGAUGGUCAAGCAACAUUUUAGGCGAUCCGUGCCUAGCCGCUCGGGCCCGUGCAGAAGGCAUGGCUAUAAAAUACGAAAAUCUAAGAAUCGAUGGAAUUUCAGUUUUAUGGCCCUAAAACGCCUUCGAGUUUAUUUUUUGGGAUUUCGAGGUCAUGCAACACGAAUUUAUAAUUAUAUCUACCUUUUCUUGUGUAUUCGUACAUGCUGAUUUUGUAAUAAAAUUUUGACGGAUUCUGAUUGGCUUAAAAUAUUGUAGGUCUAUAGGAAACGGCCUAGUGAUCAGUACUCAUUGCUUCACUAUUACAAACUUCACCAGUACAAAUUUUAUUACAAACUUCAGGUUCAUUUUAUGGCGUUUCAUGGUCUUGCAAUAUGAAUUUGUGAUUAUUCUAUUUUUUGUGUACAUUAGUAUAUGUUGAUUUUAUAGAAAUUCUUUUGAUACUCUGAUUUGUCUGAAAUUUCUUAGGUCUAUGGAAUCGACCUAAUGACCAGUACUCAUUACUUCGCCAUGACUUUUGAAUUUAUUUUAUUGCAUUUUGUGGUCAUGCAACAUGAAUUGUGAUUAUAUCUAUUUUUUCGUAUGUAUUAGUACAUGCUGAAUUUGUAAAUUAUUUUUAAAGGACUUCGAUUAGUUUGAAAUUUCUUCGAUCCAUAGAAAUGACCUGCUGACCAAUAUUCAUUGCUUCACAAUGACUUUUGAGUUUAUUUUAUGGCGUUUCGAGGUCAUACAACACAAAUUUAUAAUUAUAUCCACUUUUUUGUGUGUAUUUGUACAUGUUAAUUUUAUAGAAUUUUUUUGACGGACUCUGAUUGGCCUGAAAUUUUACAAGUUCAUAAAAAAUGGCCUAGUGAUCAAUACUCAUUGUUUUACCAUGUCUUUCAGGUUUAUUUUAUGGCGUUUUGUGAUCAUAAAACACAAAUUUAUGAUUAUAUCUAUUUUUUCGUGAAUUGCAUUAUUCGGGCCAGUGAACUCUUAAUGCCAAAAUAUUUUUUUUAAAAUAUGACCAUGAUUAUAGUGCACUAAGGAGUCAUUUGGUAGGAUGUAUCAGGUAAAAAUAAUACAUGUAUUAACUUUGAUAUUAGUAUUCCCCUAUUUGUUAGUGUUUUUUAAUUUAUGUAUAACUAACACAUGUAUUAGUUAUACUCCCUGGUAUUAUUCUAUACAACAACAACUGACCUAGUAUAUUUUCAACAGAUGGGUCUGGGAAAAAUAGUAUGUACGUAGACCUUACCUCUAUCAGGUGAAGGUAGAAAUAUUAUUUCCAAUAGACCCUUUGCUUGGAAGGAAGAAGAAGAAGAAGAAGAAGAAGAAAAAUGAGGAGGAGGAUGAGCAUGUAUACAUCCCUAUGCAAUGCAUGUUAAUUUUAAUAUACCAAACUAAAUAGUGGAUAAAAAAUAAUUCCAACAUAACUAAUUUUAUCACUAUUAAUUCUAAUGUUACCAAUACACCGUAUUUAGUACUCCCUCCGUUUUAAUUUAUGUGAACUUAUUUUUUUUUUAGUCUGUG
This 7150-nucleotide long non-coding RNA is filed under the name Nicotiana tabacum (common tobacco). RNAcentral's name for it is "long non-coding RNA (NTAB_LNC011799)". The record is from RNAcentral. Lineage: Eukaryota; Viridiplantae; Streptophyta; Magnoliopsida; Solanales; Solanaceae.